Molecule: ribosomal RNA, 541 nt
Filed under: uncultured Acinetobacter sp.
Lineage: Bacteria; Pseudomonadati; Pseudomonadota; Gammaproteobacteria; Moraxellales; Moraxellaceae
Description: bacterial SSU rRNA
Rfam family: Bacterial small subunit ribosomal RNA
Source: RNAcentral
ACGGGAAGCAGCAGGGGGGAAUAUUGGACAAUGGGGGGAACCCUGAUCCAGCCAUGCCGCGUGUGUGAAGAAGGCCUUAUGGUUGUAAAGCACUUUAAGCGAGGAGGAGGCUCUUUUGGUUAAUACCCAAGAUGAGUGGACGUUACUCGCAGAAUAAGCACCGGCUAACUCUGUGCCAGCAGCCGCGGUAAUACAGAGGGUGCAAGCGUUAAUCGGAUUUACUGGGCGUAAAGCGCGCGUAGGCGGCCAAUUAAGUCAAAUGUGAAAUCCCCGAGCUUAACUUGGGAAUUGCAUUCGAUACUGGUUGGCUAGAGUGUGGGAGAGGAUGGUAGAAUUCCAGGUGUAGCGGUGAAAUGCGUAGAGAUCUGGAGGAAUACCGAUGGCGAAGGCAGCCAUCUGGCCUAACACUGACGCUGAGGUGCGAAAGCAUGGGGAGCAAACAGGAUUAGAUACCCUGGUAGUCCAUGCCGUAAACGAUGUCUACUAGCCGUUGGGGCCUUUGAGGCUUUAGUGGCGCAGCUAACGCGAUAAGUAGACCGCC